CCUACGGGAGGCAGCAGUGGGGGAUAUUGCACAAUGGGGGGAACCCUGAUGCAGCGACGCCGCGUGGGUGAAGAAGCGCCUCGGCGCGUAAAGCCCUGUCAGCAGGGAAGAAAAUGACGGUACCUGAAGAAGAAGCCACGGCUAACUACGUGCCAGCAGCCGCGGUAAUACGUAGGGGGCAAGCGUUAUCCGGAUUUACUGGGUGUAAAGGGGGCGCAGACGGGGAUGCAAGCCAGGAGGGAAAGCCCGGGGGCCAACCCCGGGACUGCUCUUGGAACUGCGUGGCUGGAGUGCAGGAGGGGCAGGCGGAAUGCCUGGUGUAGCGGUGAAAUGCGUAGAUAUCAGGAGGAACACCGGUGGCGAAGGCGGCCUGCCGGACUGCAACUGACGUUGAGGCCCGAAAGCGUGGGGAGCAAACAGGAUUAGAUACCCCUGUAGUC
This 440-nucleotide ribosomal RNA is filed under the name uncultured bacterium. Its description in RNAcentral is "partial 16S ribosomal RNA". It matches the Rfam family "Bacterial small subunit ribosomal RNA", at positions 338 to 795 of the family's 1533-position model. The record is from RNAcentral.